CCUGAUUGAAGUAUGGUACACCAACAUAGACAAAAUGAUACAUAUCGGCACCCGCACCCUUAUAAAUCAAAAGGUAGAGAGCGGGCAAGCCGUUGUUUGUUCGAGUUAAAGCGCUUACGCGAGUGACUUCAUCGCCUAUUGCUAUUGUAUAUAAAUACAGAAGUCAUAUUCCCAGAUACAGAAGUAAUAUUCCCAGAAGUCUAUACAAGAGCUCCACUUUUCCAUUCUUUUCUUGUCUUGUGUUUAGGCGCCUUAGCUUUCUUUGAGUUUUGUGUAGGUUCUCUGUUGGUUUGUGGUUGGUCUAGUGUUUCCUUCCGAUUGAGUCGGGCCAGUGGGAUCACCGGUACCCCUAUUAGAUUCAAGGUGUUGGGUUCUGCUAAAGAUGUGUCUCAUCCUUCCGUAACGCUCUCUUCAAUUCCAUUCAGUUCAGUCACUCUAUCGGGUUCUGCUAAAGAUGUGUCUCAUCCUUCCUAUUGCUAUUGCCCACUAAACUCUCUAUUAGUCAAUAAUAAAUAGUCUAGAGAAGAUAAGCGGGAAGAGAAAUCAUAAAUAGUCUAGAGAGAGGGUAAGCGGGAAGAGAAAUCAUAAAUAGUCUAAAGAGGAUAUCGGGAAGGGAAAGAAUCAAUCAAGUAACUACAAAGAAUCAAUCAACUAACUACUAUAAACUAAAGGUCCGGGUGCCGAAAUCGUAACUACUAUAAACGAAAGGUCCGGGUCUAAAGCGAUUUGACCUAUCUUACUCGUGACUUUCCCUAGGAUUUGACCCAUCUUACUCGUGACUUUCCCUAGAAUAUCCGUUUCCCCAGGGCGACUCUACAUCCGGGUUCUCAGCAAACAAACCCAGAGUAGUUGACCACGGCGUAAACAACGAGAACUCUCCUAAUGCUUCUAACUCACUCAUUUCAUACUUGAACUUCCGUGUAGUUCCUUCUUGUGUUGCGGUUCAAUUCCAAAAUGCCAGGGAUAGAAAAUCAAAGGGAUGCUGUAUAGAAAGAAAUCGGGUCAUUAUUUAGGUGCUUGGUUUGCUCCUUACGCUCUACGCUCAAAGUCAAGUAUACUUUUUCCUAAGCUUGCUGAGUCAGGGUUUUUAGGUGGUAAGGAAGAAGCAUUGUUUUUAGGUAGAGUAGAGCCAGUAGUAAUGGGUCUUUUUCCCUAUGGAGCAUAUGUCUAUUCUAUUCUUAAAGCCACUCGGGGUUCUUAAAGCCACUCGGGGAACAAGCAAUCUUCUCUUCUGCUUCUGAUCCUUAUGAUUCUCUCUCUCAUGGACAAGAAAAGAAAGAUCAAGCGCCAAGAACCUAAUCUGCUCUAUACUUAAGUACUAAAUCAGCCUAAGGGAAAGCUCUCAAAUGGCAAAUUAUCUUAGUUUUACCUAUGUUCAACUCAUCUUAUGGAAAAUCCCCCAUCCAAUUCCCUAUUGGCUGUAGAAAUGCAUUUUUGCCUGAUAUCUUUGCAUGCUUAGCUUUGACCAUACCUUUGCUUUCCAACCUUUCUUUUCCUUGACUUACCCACCGCUACAAAGAAUUUCAGAAUACAUCUCCAUUUACCUGCUUCUAUAUUCCAUACUGCAUCCCUUUUCUUUUGCGUUACUUCCUAACUCGACUUAAAGCUCGUCGCUAACUAGGAUUCCACUAUCACACCACUAACUUGAAGUCAGAACUGCAACACCGUUCCAUGGGCAUUCGAAAGGAGCUUAUUAAUACAACAACACUCGCACCGCUACCGCCGAUGACAAAAACGACACUUGCCCCGAAAACGAAUAAUCUGACUUGUUUGGUUGACUGCCAGCCUUAACCCAUAAGUACUUCAGUAUAGUUCCAUUCCAGUUCGAGUAUUGUCGUAGAGAGAAGCUCUCCGUCAGUAAAGUAUCAAGUAAGUAUCGCUUAUAUAGUGGAUCUUGUAUCGUAUAUCAAAUUGUCAUCCUCAAUUCCAACUUCUUUGUCAGUGCAAUUUCCAUGAUUUUAGGCUUCUGCGCUAAGAGAUACAAAAAUCCUGUUUAUGUUCGACUUUCCCCUGUGCAAGAAAGAAAGAUUCCUGUCCUGGUGCAGGCGCAAGA
This 2053-nucleotide long non-coding RNA is filed under the name Musa acuminata (dwarf banana). Its description in RNAcentral is "long non-coding RNA (MACU_LNC007528)". Lineage: Eukaryota; Viridiplantae; Streptophyta; Magnoliopsida; Zingiberales; Musaceae. The record is from RNAcentral.